RNAcentral lists this ribosomal RNA (492 nucleotides) under uncultured bacterium. RNAcentral's name for it is "partial 16S ribosomal RNA". It matches the Rfam family "Bacterial small subunit ribosomal RNA", at positions 29 to 507 of the family's 1533-position model. The record is from RNAcentral.
AGUGAACGCUGGCGGUAGGCCUAACACAUGCAAGUCGAACGGCAGCACAGUAAGAGCUAGCUCUUACGGGUGGCGAGUGGCGGACGGGUGAGGAAUACAUCGGAAUCUACUUUUUCGUGGGGGAUAACGUAGGGAAACUUACGCUAAUACCGCAUACGACCUACGGGUGAAAGCAGGGGAUCUUCGGACCUUGCGCGAUUGAAUGAGCCGAUGCCGGAUUAGCUAGUUGGCGGGGUAAAGGCCCACCAAGGCGACGAUCCGUAGCUGGUCUGAGAGGAUGAUCAGCCACACUGGAACUGAGACACGGUCCAGACUCCUACGGGAGGCAGCAGUGGGGAAUAUUGGACAAUGGGCGCAAGCCUGAUCCAGCCAUACCGCGUGGGUGAAGAAGGCCUUCGGGUUGUAAAGCCCUUUUGUUGGGAAAGAAAAGCAGCAGGUUAAUACCCCGCUGUUCUGACGGUACCCAAAGAAUAAGCACCGGCUAACUUCGUG